Molecule: ribosomal RNA, 511 nt
Filed under: uncultured bacterium
Lineage: Bacteria
Description: bacterial SSU rRNA
Rfam family: Bacterial small subunit ribosomal RNA
Source: RNAcentral
GUGGGCAACCUGCCCAAAAGAGGGGGAUAACACUUGGAAACAGGUGCUAAUACCGCAUAACCAUAGUUACCGCAUGGUAACUAUGUAAAAGGUGGCUAUGCUACCGCUUUUGGAUGGGCCCGCGGUGCAUUAGCUAGUUGGUGGGGUAAAGGCUUACCAAGGCAAUGAUGCGUAGCCGAACUGAGAGGUUGAUCGGCCACAUUGGGACUGANACACGGCCCAAACUCCUACGGGAGGCAGCAGUAGGGAACCUUCCACAAUGGGCGAAAGCCUGAUGGAGCAACGCCGCGUGGGUGAAGAAGGUCUUCGGAUCGUAAAACCCUGUUGUUAGAGAAAAAAGUGCGUGAGAGUAACUGUUCACGUUUCGACGGUNUCUAACCAGAAAGCCACGGCUAACUACGUGCCAGCAGCCGCGGUAAUACGUAGGUGGCAAGCGUUAUCCGGAUUUAUUGGGCGUAAAGGGAACGCAGGCGGUCUUUUAAGUCUGAUGUGAAAGCCUUCGGCUUAACCG